RNAcentral lists this ribosomal RNA (465 nucleotides) under Vreelandella stevensii. RNAcentral describes it as "partial 16S ribosomal RNA". It matches the Rfam family "Bacterial small subunit ribosomal RNA", at positions 338 to 795 of the family's 1533-position model. The record is from RNAcentral. Lineage: Bacteria; Pseudomonadati; Pseudomonadota; Gammaproteobacteria; Oceanospirillales; Halomonadaceae.
CCUAGGGGAGGCAGCAGUGGGGAAUAUUGGACAAUGGGCGAAAGCCUGAUCCAGCCAUGCCGCGUGUGUGAAGAAGGCCUUCGGGUUGUAAAGCACUUUCAGUGGGGAAGAAAGCCUUGGGGCUAAUACCCUCGAGGAAGGACAUCACCCACAGAAGAAGCACCGGCUAACUCCGUGCCAGCAGCCGCGGUAAUACGGAGGGUGCGAGCGUUAAUCGGAAUUACUGGGCGUAAAGCGCGCGUAGGCGGUCUGAUAAGCCGGUUGUGAAAGCCCCGGGCUCAACCUGGGAACGGCAUCCGGAACUGUCAGGCUAGAGUGCAGGAGAGGAAGGUAGAAUUCCCGGUGUAGCGGUGAAAUGCGUAGAGAUCGGGAGGAAUACCAGUGGCGAAGGCGGCCUUCUGGACUGACACUGACGCUGAGGUGCGAAAGCGUGGGUAGCAAACAGGAUUAGAUACCCGAGUCGUC